CAGCUUCAACUAUAAAUGCUAAUGUCACCACAGGUAACAGUACAACCGUUCUUUUAAAGUACAUGUUUGCUAAAAAUUUGCAGAAUAUCAUUGACACAUAUUGUAUGAAUUGAGAUCCAUCAAACUCACAUAUAUAAAUUGAAAGUGAACUUAAUGUGUUAAAUUAAGUAUUUGUAAAACACAUACUAAAAAAAAUCUGAAUUACCACAAAGAAAAAUGUUUCAUGCUUACCAUCUUAUGCAUUAAAAGGACACGGUGACCUCCGUGUAACAGAAUAACAUGUUGACCACGCACAGUUGAGGCAAUUCUCAGAAAAAAAACCAAACUAAGGUAGACUUUGUCUUUGUAUGACACAAGACUAAAAAGGACACGCCUUCUGGCAAGAAAGAGAAAGAAGAGAAAACAAUGGCAGGAUAAGAGGGUGGUCAUGAGACAGUUCCAGCAGAUCUGGAAACCCUGAAGGCUGGCGUCCAACUCUACGAUGAAAUCCAGUCUGAAUGUGGAGCAGUCACCAAUGGAGCUACAUUUGAAACUCCAGCAAAAAAGGCACCAAGUAAUCGCAUGACUGACUUGAACAUAAACACUGAGAUUUUAAGCAUUGCGUUGUUUAUGUUCUUUAGAGCUGAGUCCGAAAGUCAGACACAUGAACUGGCAAUGUCAGUCCCACCAAAUGAAAUGGAGAAAGCUAUGGCUAAGAAUCAAGAGGUGCUCAUCCUUUAGAUCGAGACAAGUGAACAAGUUGUUCUUCAGAGAUGCUUCCACAGAAAAUGGAUUCCUUCCAUCUUGAAGUGUCAUUACAUCACAAAGUUGUUAAGUUGACAUAAAUUGAGGAAAGGUCGUAAGUCUGAAGUCAUUGAAAAAUGUUGCCUGUAAACCUGUCCCAUCUGGUGUGAAUUGCACACUGCACCUCUAGAGAACAGAGCACAAAUGUUUUCAUUGAUGAGGGACCUGUGUACCUCAGACAUGCAUAAGGGAUGCGGAGGACAAGUUUAUGUGGAAACAGAGUGGAACUCAAUGAUGUCUGAAUGACCCAGGUGUCACAAAGAUUGCUCUUCAAUUCUGUAAUAUGCCUGCAGUUAAAUCAGUAGAAGAUAGAAUCAAAGAAGAAUGCAUAGCUUCUGCCUCUAUUGCGUCUUGUCCUCUCUGUUCCUUUAUGGAAAGUGGCAAUGUUGAAUGGAAAGAAGGAUGAGGAUGGAGUGUUUGUUCCGGUAUACUAGAAAUAGCUGAUGGCUUGGCCCCUCUGCCAAACAGCUCUGCAAAAAACACUACUGUCAGGAGAUGGUCAAAAAACUACUUUCAUAGAGGUUUGCACUUUAUUCAGAGUGGUGAAAAGGUUCACAUGCCUCUUUAAUUCGGUGAUAAAGGAUUCUCCAGAUAGGAGCCCAUUAGCAAAGGGUCUUAGCUCCUUCUUACCCAAGUAGCUUUGUGUCUAUCUUCAGAAGAGCGGACUUGCGAUGUUCUGUAAAAAGAGCAGUGUUUGUAUUGCCAAGCAUGCAGAUUGAAUGCUGAGCCCACUCUCGGAUGUCAUUUGGGUUGAAUUGCGUGUCUGGUGAGAGAUCCAGAUCAGCAAAGUAUAGCAAUUUUAUCCAGAGGACCGAGGAUAUCCAGAAGUUUGUCUUGGGCAGCUUUUAAGUCCUUUUCAAUACUCUUGCGGACGCCAUGACCCAUCCAGGAUAUAAGGCCCACUACCGUAGUGUAAAAUAGUGUACGCUACUUUGGGAGCAGCGGGCGAGGGCAUUUGGCCCAAAGGUGCAUGCACACCUUCUUCUCUAAUUGCUUUCUCAGCCAGAAGGGAAUAAAGACAGAUGGCCUGGGAGGCACGAUUCCAAUCUCAGAUGCUUGAGUGGGGUUGAAAAAACAGCAUCCAUUGAGAGUCCCUGGAAGCCAGUGGCUUUUGGGUAUCCUUUCUGUGGGAAGAAUCGUCCUCUAUAGAUUACCUGACAGAUCGAGACUCUGUCUGUGGUAUGUCUUGCCAUUCUUUCUCCUCUGAAGCCGAUCUGUCUUCUCGACAUUUGUCUACCACAACCAAGGAUGCCAAUGGAUUAGGAGGCAGGGCUUGCAUUUCCAUCUAUUUAGGCUAUUUAAUUGUGGCCUUUGCCUUAGAUUUCUGGAUAUUCAAUUCAGCUCAGUUCCAGUGGAGUUUAGCCAAAGAUAUAUAAUACCUAGAAGUCUCGGAGCCCAAUCAUCCUCUAGAUAAGGCAUAGGCAACCUUCGACACUCCAGAUGUUUUGUAUUACACCUUCCAUGGUGCUCUGCCAGCCUUAUGGGUGUAAAAGCAUUAUGGGGGAUGUAGUCCACAACAUCUGGAGUGCCGAAGAGGUUGUGUGGUAUAGUUGCUCUAGGUUGUGUGGUAUAGUUUCCCCUUAACCAACAGACUCCACUGGCAUGUGGGUCAGCACCUUCAAGACCAUCAUCUCCGACAGCAACAUUGAUUAUCACCUGAAAAUACUGAGUAAAUUGUGACGAGUCACCCAUGAUUAGAGCGUAAGCGUGUUCCCGACUGGGAAACAAAGUAGUCAGUGGGAAAUGCGUAAAAGCACAGGGUGUCAGGUUCCCAAUACAGCUGGUGCUCACCUGGAGAAGGCAGGCAUCCAUCCAAAAAGUCCUUUUCAAUCCUCUUGCGGAAGCCAUGACCCAUCCAGGAUAUAAGGCCCACUACCGUAGUGUAAAAUUCGGGAGUGUACGCUACUUUCGGAGCAGCGGGCGAGGGCAUUUGGCCCACAGGUGCAUGCACACCUUCUUCUCCAAUUGCUUUCUCAGCCAGAAGGGAAUAAAGUGAGAUGGCCUGGGAGGCACGAUUCCAAUCUCAGAUGCUUGAGUGGGGUUGAAAAAACAGCAUCCAUUGAGAGUCCCUGGAAGCCAGUGGCUUUUGGGUAUCCUUUCUGUGGGAAGAAUCAUCCUCUAUAGAUUACCUGACAGAUCAAGACUCUGUCUGUGGUAUGUCUUGCCAUUCUUUCUCCUCUGAAGCCGAUCCGUCUGCUCGACAUUUGUCUACCACAACCAAGGAUGCCAAUGGAUAAGGAGGCAGGGCUUGCAUCUCCAUCUAUUUAGGCUAUUUAAUUGUGGCCUUUGCCUUAGAUUUCUGGAAAUUCAAUUCAGCUCCGUUCCAGUGGAGUUAGCCAAAGGUAUAUUAUCCCUAGAAGUCUCGGAGCCCAAUCAUCCUCUAGAUAAGGCAUAGGCAACCUUUGACACUCCAGAUGUUUUGGAUUACACCUUCCAUGGUGCUCUGCCAGCCUUAUGGGUGUAAAAGCAUUAUGGGGGAUGUAGUCCACAACAUCUGGAGUGCCGAAGAGGUUGUGUGGUAUAGUUGCUCUAGGUUGUGUGGUAUAGUUUUCCCUUAACCAACAGACUCCACUGGCAUGUGGGUCAGCACCUUCAAGACCAUCUCCUCCGACAGCAACAUUGAUUAUCACCUGAAAAUACUGAGUAAAUUGUGACAAGUCACCCAUGAUUAGAGCGCAAGCAAAGUAGUCAGUGGGAAAUGCGUAAAAGCACAGGGUGUCAGGUUCCCAAUACAGCUGGUGCUCACCUGGAGAAGGCAGGCAUCCAUUCUCUGGUGGAGAAAUUUAGUAGUAGUGCCAGUGAAGAGAGGAAGUCAUCCUCUAAAACAACCAACAUAAGCGAUAGACACGUACCAAAGUGGGCUUCCCUUUAAUUAAUAGGAGACAAUAUCAGUCUCAUAUAAAAGUGGGUCAACCCUAUAAGUUCCCUGCCAGGCUGAAAAAGUACCACUGAGGGGGUCACCCUCACACUUGUUGCCAACAGUGCAGCUAGGUAAUGAAAUCGAUAUUUGAGUUCACCCCAGUUGCACAGUGAAGCUCCAUUGUAUUAUCCAGUAUAUAGAUUGGAAAACACAGUAAUAGGAAUGGUACCUGGAAGGGGGUCACCCCUGUCAAUAAACUGCCUCACUGGGGCAACCAAUAUCAUAUGGGGUAGUGACCCCAGUUGACGUGUCAUGGGGACACAGCAUAAUCUGGCAUAAAUUACUCCCAGGAACACUGUGGUACAUAUAUACACUUGUGUGCAUUGUAAGACAUAUCAAUUAAAUGACAUCCAUAAAUCUCAAUGCAAUCCACAUAAACCAUUUCCCAUAUUCAUUACAUUUUGAGACUAGAACGUCCAUAAAAAUACCUUUUAAAAUCAAUUAAAUAUGUGUGCCAAAAACAAGGAAGCACAAAAUAAAUGAGAAAGUAAAUAGUAUGAUAAAGUCAUAAAGGAUCAAAAUACAAUGGCCUGUGCACAGCAGGAGCAGCAAAGAAGGGGAAAGUGCUUGAGAGGUGAGGGCCUUAAAUAUCAACUGUUUUUUGGAUGUUUUUCCUGUUAAUGAUCUGUGCUGCUGGACUUCAGUAAAGAUUGUUUAAUGCAAAAUAUAAAACCUAAUUUCAUGUAAAAUUUCCUGUUAUUAUUGCAUAUUAAAUUGAAUAAUUAAACAAUUUGUCUCUUUGAAUUUCAGCUUCAACUACAAAUGCUAAUGCCACCACAGGUAACAGUACAACUGUUUUUUUGAUGUAAAUGUUUGAUAAAGAUUUGCAAUACAUCUUUGAUACCUAUUGUACAAAUUAAAAUCCAUCAAACACAUAUAUAUAUUAAAAAUAAACUUUAUCUAUUAAAUCAUAUAUUUGUGAUUUUGUAUUGUAAAAAAACUAACAAUAAUAAUAGUGAAGGGGUACAAUGGAUCUAGAAUAGCCAUCAAAACUUGUCAUCUAAAGUCUUCCUUUUUCAAAUCUUUUUUUUUUGCCUUAAAAAGGGAAAAUUAAAAAUCAAUAAUAACUGACUAGACUUAAAAACUAAAAACAUAUAAAUAAAAUACUGCAAAAAAAAGAAUUAUAAUAAUAAUUCUGUGGAGGUCUCUGUGCGUAGUAAUUUUUUUUACCUUUAAUAUGGCAUCCUUAUGUUUAAAUUAGCAGUCAGUUAUCGGAUUAGUUGGGUAUGGAGCAAAACUUUUUUUUGAGAGGCAAUCUCAAGUGUAACCUGUCAUGAGAACUGCUUUGUAAUGCAUUACUGGUCUACUGUCAGGAGAAAAUGCGUAAGCCAUGGAAUCAUUUAGCUGACAGCCUUCUGAUUUUUAUAAUCUUUUAUGUCUGUAAUAUUAGAACUAUCUACAAUUGCCUGUUACUGUUACAUAGUGUAUGAAUGGAAAUCCAUUAUGCUUCCUUUGGUAUUCCAUAUAAAAUGUAUGCGUCAAAUCAUAUAUUUGUGAUUUUGUAUUGCAUAAAAAUAAUUGUUAUCCUUUUAUCAAAAGUCACUGUUGACUUUACUUUUAAAUAGCUAACAGGGCCGGACUGGGAAAAAAUUUGGGCCUGGGCAUUUUUUAACUAAACUAAAAAGGGGGCGGGGCCAGAUAGGGUGUGUUUGGUCAUCACCAAUGACAAGUAUGCCCCAUCACAAAGUGAGCAUGUUGGUUCAAUGCUCUUCCAGGUUAGACCAUGUGCAGAGCUCUGCUGAGGAGCUCUAGCAUGAGAAAAAGACCCUGUAUUUGUUCUGCACAGUGCAAGCAAAUUUAAUAACAUGCUUGAACUGUGUUUGCUUGAAAUUUGUCUCUGGUGUCUCCAUAGAUGGGAUACCAGGAGACAAAAAUGACAGGAAAGAGUAUUGUGCUCUGUGUGUGCGUGGGUGAUAUGUGUAAGGGUGCUGUGUGUGGGGUGCAGUGUGUAUACUGUGUGUGAAUGAGGGUGCUGUGAUUGUCAGGGGUGCAGUGUGUGUAUGUGUGAGUGAGAGUACUGUGAGUGUCAACAUGCAGUGUGUGAUUAUGUCCCCCCUCCCUUCUUACCUUUAGCCUGGGAGGGGGGGAGGUCGUGCAGUUGCCAUCCAUGGUGGUCCUAGUGGUGAGUGAACUCUAGCCUGUGGGGCUAGAGUUCACUCUCACGGGACCCGGAGCGUUGCCAUGGGGUGAUCUCGUAUUGUAUAUUUGUGAUCUCGUAUUGUAUAAAAAGCAACAGUAAUAACAGUGAAGGGGAACAAUAGAGGCUGUUAUUUUAGCUUAAAAAAGGCAAAUAAAAAUCAUUAAUAACUGAUAACUUAAUAACAGAAAAUCAGGGCACUGUGAGUGGUAACUCUCACCUAUCACAAGUCCUGCCUGGUAUUGCAUUGCAAGGCAACUCUGAUUAGAGGCAAAGUUUUUUUGCUUGUUAUGCUUUUUUCAUAUUUUAAGUCUUGGUUCUAUGGAUUUUUAUUUGGCCUUAUUUGGAGCCUAACAAAUGAAGAUUUGAAUGAAGAAUUCUGAUGGAAAGUUUCAAUUAUGUUUUUUACAUGUAUUUAAGAUUUGCUAGUCUUGUAGUAGACUUGCCUAAUUGUCCUUAAAUUGAAAACAUGCCUCUAGUGUAAUCAUUGUACUAAUGAGUUUGAAAAUGUGUUUGUAGUAUUAGACCUCUCUACAAUUACUUAUUACUGUUGCAUAUAUAUAUAUUGAAUCAUUUCAAUAUGUGUCUUUUUCAAUUUCAGUUUCAAGUACACAAGCCAAUACCACCACUGGUAAUGAUGCAAAUAUUGUUUUUUAUAUAGUGUUUAUGGUUGAUACAAUUAUUUACUUUUAUUUAUUCAUUUUCAAAACACUCAUUGUGUUGUGUAAGAUCCAACAUGCUCACUUAUGUAUUGAAAGUAAAAUUUCACUGUAAAAGGGACAUUCGAGAAAUCCAGACCACUUAAUCUCAUUGAAGUGGUCUGGGGGGAUUGCGCUAUCUGUCCAAUCUCGCAAUGUAAAAUAUUGUCAUGUUUACAUUGCAGGUUUAAUAUGUCUUUAGUGGCUGUCUUCCUGACAGCCAGAAUAAGCACUUCCUCUGCUAUAACUGAGCAAACUCAGCUAAAGAUCAAAUGCUGCUCAUAGGGUGGCAUUUAAUUGACACAGUGAGGAAUUUUGCCUGCUUUUAAACCCUCACAUGUUGGGUGUAAGGUGGGCACUUUAGUAGCAGGACAUUAUUGUGUAUUGAAUAAAUGUUUGUAUACUAUAGUGUUCCAUUGAUGUUAUAUUUAUCAAGCUACACAAUUCACAGGUUCACCGUAACUAGUAUAACUAAAUAUAAGAAAAUAUUACAGGAUUCCUCAACUAUAAUUUUCCUACAUCAUAAAUUUGACCAAAUUAGUAACAAUUAUAGAAAUGUCCAGCAAGCAAUGGUGUGGUGUGACUCAGUCACUGUUCUUAUAUUAAACCACACUGACUGAUGAUCACUGGAUCCUAAACUUUCACCUACAGUAAUAUCUGAUACCAAAUCUCCAUUUGUUAACACUAAAUCUAUUAUGACCUCUUUACGAGUUGGCUCCUCAACAACUUGUUUUAGAGACAAUCCCAGUAGGGAGUUUAGAAUAUGUGUUCUCCUGGCACAAGCAGCUAUUUUGGUUUCCAAUUCACAUCAGGACGACUAAAGUCACCCAUGAUGAUAACUUCCCCCUUCAUUGUCAUUUUAGCUAUUUCCUCAACUAGUAGAUUAUCUAACUCUUUUAUUUGUCCUGGGGACCUAUAAAUCACACCUACACAAGUUACUGUGUGAUUAUCAAAUUCUUACGUAAUCCAAACGGACUCUAUGUUUGCCUCACUAACUUAUUAGGCUAUAUUUUAUGCUAUCCUUCACAUACAGGGCCACCCCUCCCCCUUUCUUCCCUUCCCUGUCUUUUCUAUAUAAAGAGUACCCUGGUAUUGCUUUCUCCCAGUCAUCUUUCUCAUUAUACAAUGUCUCAGUAACAGCGACUAAAUCUACAUUAUCAGUUGCCAUUAUAGCCACAAGUUUAUAAAUUGUAUUCCCUAAACUGUGAGCAUUUGUAGACAUGACUCUGUAGAGGCGGAAGUGCCACUGGUACAGCUGUACCUGGGCCUGUAUGCUGAUGAGGCCCAUGGGUGACUUCCAUGUGUGUGUCUGUCAGUAUUUAUGACUGUGUGUCUGUGUAUAAAUAUGUUCUUCUGUGUGUCACUAUGAGUGUGUGUAUCAGUGUGUAUGUCUGUGAGUCAUUAUUUGUGUCUGUAUGUAUAUCUGCAUUUCAGCAUGUAAGUCUGUGUGCCUAGUAUGUAUGUCUGUGUGUCAGUGUGUGAGAAUGUCAGCAUUAUCUAACAUUACCUAUUACUGUUGCAUAUUAAAUAGAAUUUUUAACAUAUCUGUUGCUUUGAAUUUCAGCUUCAACUACACAAUCUGGUGCCACUACAGGUAAUAACACAUUCUUCUUUUAAAGUAUAUGUUUGAUACAGAAUUUCUAUAUUGUGAGCUAGCCAUAGAUGGACAGGAGAAGCAUAGGAACGUUAUAAAGGCUGUUCCUACUUUGAAACUUAAAUCUGCUUAGUGCCCUCAAAGAAUGAAUAUGGGACAAUUUUUGGAUGAGGGAUUUUGUAUCUUUUUUAUCUUUAAACUUUAGUCUGAACUUCAUCCCGGGGUGACAACCAUGAUGUCACUGGCCUAGUGGUCCUGGGGUGUCCGGUCAUCUAUGCCCGACAUUUCCUAUAUCUGUAGUGGCAGAAGUGCUGAAGUCUGAUGAGUUUAUUAUUUUUCUUCUUAAAAAGGUCCUGUUGUUGCUUUUUGUAAAAAUAGUAUAGAUCAUGUUCUAGUUGUUCAUCAAUUUAUAUAUUUUCCUCACAUAGAUUUUGGAGUAUUGUUUUUUAUGUUGGAUGCUAUAUUUCUUGCUGUAGAGCUGGUAGAUGAGAUGGUUUCUAAGUUUCUCACUAGUGCGUUUACACAGGUUUUCAGCAUACUGCUAUUUGUGCAUAGUAACAAGUGGAUUUUUUAUUUUUAGGCCUUUGGGGAUCAGCUGUCUUUUCUUUCAGAUUGAGCUAUUGAGCUCUACUUCUUUUGUUGUCAUCUUGUAGAUUUGCUUUAUUAGACAGCUGUAUUAGUGUUCAAGUAAAGAUUGUAGCUGUAUUAGUUGUAUUUUUUUUUAUAGUUUAGUAGAGGACGAACACAAUAAAUAAGGCUCACAGGUUCCUGUUAUAUAUUUUUUAAUGUUAUAUUAACCAAUAUUAACCUUCUUCCUUCUCUUCUACGCCAUCAUAUGGAAAAGUUGGAAUGAAUCAUUAUAACGAUAUAUAUCUGGAUAUACUAAACCAUGUUGUAAAGUGCUUCUCUUAAGAAUUGUGCUUGGGAUCUUAGGUUUUUUAGAUGCCCAAACAAAGUUAGAAAAUGGCAAGUCAAUUUUUUUUCAGAAUAGAGUUUGAGACUUGGUAUGGUAUUGCUCUAAACAAGUAGAGAAGUUUUGGGAGUACAUAUGAUUUUAAUACACCAAGACAUCCCAACCAUGAGAUUUCCAAUCUCUUCAAUUGAGUCAAUAAUAUGUUAAGUUCCUCCCACAAGGUUUCCUAAUUCAUUUCAAGAGUUUGCGGUAUAUUCCUAAAUAAUAUAUACAUUUUUUAUGUUAAUCGAAUUGACCAAAGUCACCUAUAUUCUUUUCUCUGUUCUUCAGUCAUAUAAAAUGUCAAAAUUUGGGUUUUAGAAAGAUUUAAUUUGUAAUUAGACAACAGAAAUCUUAAAAAAAACUUAAUAUAUAUAUUAAUAGUGGAGAUGGGCCUAUAAUUAAUGACCAGUUUUGUAUCUUUCCCUGGUUUUAGAAUGGGAGAAAUACUGGACUCCAUACUUGCUCGGGGGAAACCAGCAUUUCCCCUAAUUGAGUUGAACAUUCUGUUUAAGAGUGGAUUGAAUUUUUACAAACCGUGCGUUUUUUGUUUUAAACUCUUUGGAUGCAUUGGAUUUUUCUUUGACCUUUUUUGGAGCCUGUAAAAUGAAAAUAUAAAAAAAAGCAUAGCCUAUUUUUUACAGCAAUGUAAGGUAUAUUAGCCUUGUAAUGGACCUCCCCUUUAGUUAAGAUUUGUCAACCUAACCAUAAUGUAAUACGUUAACUGAUAGCCUUCUGCAUUUUAUAAUCUGUCUACUACUUUUGCAUAUUAAAUUGAAUCACUAACAUGUCACUUUGAAUUUCAGCUUCAACUACACAAUCUGGUGCCACUACAGGUAACAAAACAUCCUUCUUUUAAUGUAUAUGUUUAAUACAGAAUUGUUAUAUUGUGAGUUAGUCAGAGAUGGACAGGGAAGUGUGGGAACCUUAUAAAGGCUGUUCCUAUUUUGAAACUUUAAUCUGCUUGGAGCCCUAAAAUACAGGAUUUAAAUACAGGAUUUUUGUAUCUUUUUUAUCUUUAAGUCUUAUUCAGGGCUCACCAAGAUGCUUGUCACAAAACCAGCAGUACUGGGGUGUCUGGCCAUUUGACUGUACAUUCCGUAUAUCUGUAGUGGCAGAACUGCCGCUGGUGCAACUGCACCGUGGUACAUGCUCUUAAGGCAUAUAUCAUCAGGGGCGUGGUCAGAUUAUAUAGCGCAACUGGAUAGCUCUAAAAUUGGUACCGUGUUUCUCCGAAAAUAAGACCGGGUCUUAUAUUAAUUUUAGUCACAAAAAACACACUAGGGCUUAUUUUCAGGGUAGGGCUUAUUUAUUUACGGUACCGGUAUGUACAUUGAACCCCCCCUUUAAUUAAUCCACCCCCCUCUAAUUAAUCCACCCCCUCUAAUUAAUCCACCCCCUCUAAUUAAUCCAGCCCACCCUUUAAUUAAUUCACCCCCUCUAAUUAAUCCAGUCCACUCUUUAAUUAAUUCACCCCCCUUUAAUUAAUUCACCCCCUCUAAUUAAUCCAGCCAACCCUUUAAUUAAUUCACCCCCCUUUAAUUAAUUCACCCCCUCUAAUUAAUCCAGCCCACCCUUUAAUUAAUUCACCACCCCUUUAAUUAAUUCACCCCCUCUAAUUAAUCCAGUCUACCCUUUAAUUAAUUCACCACCCCUUUAAUUAAUUCACCCCCUCUAAUUAAUCCAGCCCACCCUUUAAUUAAUUCACCACCCCUUUAAUUAAUUCACCACCCCUUUAAUUAAUUCACCCCCUCUAAUUAAUCCAGUCCACCCUUUAAUUAAUUCACCCCCCUUUAAUUAAUUCACCCCCUCUAAUUAAUCCAGCCCACCCUUUAAUUAAUUCACCCACCCUUUAAUUAAUUCACCUACCCUUUAAUUAAUUCACCCCCCCUUUAAUUAAUACACACCCUCUAAUUAAUCCAGUCCACCCUUUAAUUAAUUCACCCCCCUUUAAUUAAUUCACCCCCUCUAAUUAAUCCAGCCCACCCUUUAAUUAAUUCACCCCCCUUAAUUAAUUCACCCCCCUUUAAUUAAUUCACCCCCCUCUAAUUAAUCCAGCCCACCCUUUAAUUCACCCCCCUUUAAUUAAUUCACCCCCCACCCCCUUUAAUUAAUUCAGUCCCAGACAUAAAAUAUCUACCGGUACUCACAUUUCAAAGUUUCCUUGCCGAGUCCGACCACUGGGAGCCUCACCGCCCGGAAAUGGAUCCUUCCGCUGAAGAUCCGUGAAGGCAGACUGACGGCGCUGCGAAAUGACGUCAUCACGUUUUGCGAUGCCGCGGCCCGCAACGCUCCUCCUACAGUAGAAGAAGGAAGUCUCGCCGCAAAGGUACAAUGCCUAGGUCUUAUUUUCGGGGUAGGGCUUAUAUUGCAGCCCACGCCGAAAAUCCGACUAGGGCUUAUUUUCGGGGUAGGGUUUAUUUUCGGGGAAACACGGUAGCAACAACUUUUGCUGGGAGUAAGUGACAGACGGUCAUUUCCUCCUGGCUUACUCCACUUGGGAGGAAGGCAGAGCAAAGGCAGUAGGAAUGGGAGAGCUAACUGCUAGACCAACACCCAUCAGCCCCAGCCACCCUCCUGCACCCAAAAUAAAGUAACAGGAAGGUGGCUAAAAAAUUAAUUGCAUGUGUGUGUGUCUGUCAGUAUGUAUGUUUUUGUGUCAGUAUGUAUGUUUGUGUAUUAGUAUGUGUAUCGAUGUGUCAGUAUGUAUGUCUGUGUGUCAGUGUGUGUGUCUGUGUGAGUGUCAGUAUGUAUGUCUGUGUGUCUGUCAGUAUGUAUGUCUGUGUGUAUCUGUGUGUCAUUGUGUGUGUAACUGUGUGAGUCAGUGUGUCAGUGUGUGUAUCUAUGUAUUUGCAUGAUUGUCAGUGUGUGUGUGACUGUGUAUCUGUAUGUAUGUGUAUCAGUGUGUGUGGAAGUGUAUGCACAACACACAAAUGCAUGCCUGCAUUCAAACAACAACAUUCACACACAUACACCAUACAUAAACAUGCUUUCAUUCAAACACACAUUGCAUUAACUACACAAAUACACUGCCUCAACUACACAUGCACAAACACACUGUGUCCACUUUACACACACUGCAUCCAAUACACAAACACACACUGCAUCCACAACACACACAGAGCCUGUAUCCAAUCUACACACACUGCAUCCUUGUGGUCAUUUGAAAAUUGCCCACUACCAUGUGUCUCAUCCCCCCAGUGUCUCAUUCAAUUUCCCUGGUGCCUCAUUCUGCCCACUGGGUCUCAUUCCCGCACCCAGGCCCCCUCCUUGACUCAUUCCCUCAACACCACAGCCCCUCCAUGUGUCCCAUUCCCUCUCCCCCUCACCCUCCAAUUUCCCAUACCCUCAACCCCUCCAGCCCCUCAAUGUAUCCCAUUCCCUCUCCCUGCAGCACCUCCAUGUUUUACAUACCCUCCUCCCUCCCAGCACUUCCAUGUGUCCCAUAUCUCCCUCUCCACCCUGUGUCUCUCUCUCUCCCCUCCACAUAUCCCAUUCUUCCCUUUCUACCCCUCCCUUCCAUGUGUCUCAUACCCUACCUCUCAUGUGUCCCAUACCCUCUCUCCCUCCUCCCUUCCAUGUGUCUCAUACCCUCCCUCAUUCCCUCCCCUCCAUGUGACCCAUUCACUCCCUCUCUCCCCUCCCUGUGCCCCAUUCCUUCCUCUCUUCCCCUCUACUCCAUGUGUCCCAUUCUUCUCUCUCUUACCCUCCCUCUCUUAUACCCUAUUUCCCCCUCCUCACUGUGUCCCAUUUCUCCCUCCCUCCCCCUUACAUGUGUUCAAUACUCUCUCUCCCUCCUCCCCUCUCUUACAUGUGACCCUUACCCUCUCUCUCCCCUCCCUGUGUCCCAUUUCUCUGUCUAUCCCCCUGCCCUUCCUGUGUCCCAUACCAUCCCUCUCUCUCCCUCACAUCCAUGUGUCCCAUUGUUCCCUCUCUCCCUCCUCCCCUCCCUCUGUCCCAUUCUCCCUCUCUCCCCCCUUCCCUCCAGGAGUUCCAUUUAUCUCUCUCUCUCUUCCCUCCCUGUGUCCCAUACCCUCCAUCUCUCCCCUUCCCCAUUUCCCAUUCCUACCUCUCUCCCCCCUUUCCUUCCUGUGUGCCAUACCCUAAGUCUCUCCUCCUCCCCUCCCUGUGUCCCAUUUCUCCCUCACCACCCUCCCCAUCCUUAGUCCCAUACCCUCCAUCUCUCCCCCUCCCCUUCCUGUGUCUCAUACUCUCCCACUCUCCCACCUUCCCCCCCCAUGUUCUAUUUCUCCCUCUCUUCCUCCUCUCCUCCCUUUUAAUGUAUAUAUCUGAUACAGAAUUUUUAUUUUGUGAGUUAGCCAGAGAUGGACUAUUUUUUACAGGUAUGUAAAAGCUUUAGGCUUUGUAAUAAACUUCCCAUUUUGUCAAAAAUAUGCAAGCCUGCACCUGAUGGAAUCAUAGAGCUAAUAGACUUCUAAUUUUUAUAAUCUGUCUGUAGGGUUAGCAGUAUCUAUAAUUACCUGUUACUGUUGCAUAUUGAAUUAAAUCAUUAACAUAUUUGUCUCUUUGAAUUUCAGCUUCAACUACACAAACUAGUUCCACUACAGGUAAAUAAUCUUUCUUUGGAUGUUUAAGCCUAUUAUUGAUUUACAGAAUGCCAUUGACAUAUAUUCUAUCAAUAAAGAUUCCCCAUCCUCACUUUGAUAGUGAAAGUAAAAUGUAUGAUUUAAAUCAUGUAUGUGUGAUUUUGUAUUGCAUACAAAGUUUUGUUUUUCUGUUAUCAAAUGUCACUGUUAGCUUUACAUUUAUAUAGCUAAAUCAUCCACAGAGUAAGAGUGAAAAUGAUAACAGUGAUGGUCGUUUAAUAAAUCUAAAAUACGGAAACCGAGAAAUAUGUCAUGCUUACCAACUUGCUCACAUAUGCCUGGAAAGUAAAAUGUAUGCAUUAAAUCAUAUAUUUGUGAUUUUGCAUCAUAUAAAAUAUUUGCGUUGUUUUUUUGUUUAAACUUAAUGUCACCUUUAACCAAUACAUUUCCAUAGCUACACCUUUUACAAGUGUAAAUAAUGCUAAUAAAAGUCAGAGGUGCAAAAAAUCUGAAAUACCUGUAAGAAAAAUAUUUAAUACGUAUUUUAUAUUGAAUUAUUACCAUAUUUGAUGCUCUGAAAUUCAGCAUCAACUGCACAAUCUGGUGUCACUACAUGUGACAAAACAUCCUUCUUUUAAAGUAAAUGUUUCAUCCAGAAUUGUUAUAUGGUGAGUUAGCCUGAGAUGGACAGGAGAAGCGUGGAGACUUUAUAAAUGCUGUUCCUACUUUGAAACUUCAGUCUUAUUGGAUCCCUCAAAGAGUGAAAAUUGGAUUGUUCUUUCUUAUAUUUUUGUAAUUUUUAAGUCAUAUUAUGCAGUAGGGAUUAUUUUUUGACAUUUCAAGCCCUAAAAAAAAUCAAUAUUUAAAAAAAAACAUUUUGAAGAAAGGCAUGAACUAGCUUUUACAGAUAUGUAAAUUAUUUAGCCUUUGUAAUGGACUUCCCCCUUUUUAAAAAAAAAAAAAAGUCUACCCCUAAUGAAAUCAUUUAAUUUAUAAUCUUCUAAUUUUUUAAAUCUGCCUGUAGUAUUAGAAUUACCUACAAUUACUGGUUACUGUUGUGUAUUAAAUUGAAUCAUUAAUAUAUUUGUCUCUUUGAAUUUCAGCUUCAACUAUAAAUGCUAAUGUCACCACAGGUAACAGUACAACCGUUCUUUUAAAGUACAUGUUUGCUAAAAAUUUGCAGAAUAUCAUUGACACAUAUUGUAUGAAUUGAGAUCCAUCAAACUCACAUAUAUAAAUUGAAAGUGAACUUAAUGUGUUAAAUUAAGUAUUUGUAAAACACAUACUAAAAAAAAUCUGAAUUACCACAAAGAAAAAUGUUUCAUGCUUACCAUCUUAUGCAUUAAAAGGACACGGUGACCUCCGUGUAACAGAAUAACAUGUUGACCACGCACAGUUGAGGCAAUUCUCAGAAAAAAAACCAAACUAAGGUAGACUUUGUCUUUGUAUGACACAAGACUAAAAAGGACACGCCUUCUGGCAAGAAAGAGAAAGAAGAGAAAACAAUGGCAGGAUAAGAGGGUGGUCAUGAGACAGUUCCAGCAGAUCUGGAAACCCUGAAGGCUGGCGUCCAACUCUACGAUGAAAUCCAGUCUGAAUGUGGAGCAGUCACCAAUGGAGCUACAUUUGAAACUCCAGCAAAAAAGGCACCAAGUAAUCGCAUGACUGACUUGAACAUAAACACUGAGAUUUUAAGCAUUGCGUUGUUUAUGUUCUUUAGAGCUGAGUCCGAAAGUCAGACACAUGAACUGGCAAUGUCAGUCCCACCAAAUGAAAUGGAGAAAGCUAUGGCUAAGAAUCAAGAGGUGCUCAUCCUUUAGAUCGAGACAAGUGAACAAGUUGUUCUUCAGAGAUGCUUCCACAGAAAAUGGAUUCCUUCCAUCUUGAAGUGUCAUUACAUCACAAAGUUGUUAAGUUGACAUAAAUUGAGGAAAGGUCGUAAGUCUGAAGUCAUUGAAAAAUGUUGCCUGUAAACCUGUCCCAUCUGGUGUGAAUUGCACACUGCACCUCUAGAGAACAGAGCACAAAUGUUUUCAUUGAUGAGGGACCUGUGUACCUCAGACAUGCAUAAGGGAUGCGGAGGACAAGUUUAUGUGGAAACAGAGUGGAACUCAAUGAUGUCUGAAUGACCCAGGUGUCACAAAGAUUGCUCUUCAAUUCUGUAAUAUGCCUGCAGUUAAAUCAGUAGAAGAUAGAAUCAAAGAAGAAUGCAUAGCUUCUGCCUCUAUUGCGUCUUGUCCUCUCUGUUCCUUUAUGGAAAGUGGCAAUGUUGAAUGGAAAGAAGGAUGAGGAUGGAGUGUUUGUUCCGGUAUACUAGAAAUAGCUGAUGGCUUGGCCCCUCUGCCAAACAGCUCUGCAAAAAACACUACUGUCAGGAGAUGGUCAAAAAACUACUUUCAUAGAGGUUUGCACUUUAUUCAGAGUGGUGAAAAGGUUCACAUGCCUCUUUAAUUCGGUGAUAAAGGAUUCUCCAGAUAGGAGCCCAUUAGCAAAGGGUCUUAGCUCCUUCUUACCCAAGUAGCUUUGUGUCUAUCUUCAGAAGAGCGGACUUGCGAUGUUCUGUAAAAAGAGCAGUGUUUGUAUUGCCAAGCAUGCAGAUUGAAUGCUGAGCCCACUCUCGGAUGUCAUUUGGGUUGAAUUGCGUGUCUGGUGAGAGAUCCAGAUCAGCAAAGUAUAGCAAUUUUAUCCAGAGGACCGAGGAUAUCCAGAAGUUUGUCUUGGGCAGCUUUUAAGUCCUUUUCAAUACUCUUGCGGACGCCAUGACCCAUCCAGGAUAUAAGGCCCACUACCGUAGUGUAAAAUAGUGUACGCUACUUUGGGAGCAGCGGGCGAGGGCAUUUGGCCCAAAGGUGCAUGCACACCUUCUUCUCUAAUUGCUUUCUCAGCCAGAAGGGAAUAAAGACAGAUGGCCUGGGAGGCACGAUUCCAAUCUCAGAUGCUUGAGUGGGGUUGAAAAAACAGCAUCCAUUGAGAGUCCCUGGAAGCCAGUGGCUUUUGGGUAUCCUUUCUGUGGGAAGAAUCGUCCUCUAUAGAUUACCUGACAGAUCGAGACUCUGUCUGUGGUAUGUCUUGCCAUUCUUUCUCCUCUGAAGCCGAUCUGUCUUCUCGACAUUUGUCUACCACAACCAAGGAUGCCAAUGGAUUAGGAGGCAGGGCUUGCAUUUCCAUCUAUUUAGGCUAUUUAAUUGUGGCCUUUGCCUUAGAUUUCUGGAUAUUCAAUUCAGCUCAGUUCCAGUGGAGUUUAGCCAAAGAUAUAUAAUACCUAGUAGUCUCGGAGCCCAAUCAUCCUCUAGAUAAGGCAUAGGCAACCUUCGACACUCCAGAUGUUUUGUAUUACACCUUCCAUGGUGCUCUGCCAGCCUUAUGGGUGUAAAAGCAUUAUGGGGGAUGUAGUCCACAACAUCUGGAGUGCCGAAGAGGUUGUGUGGUAUAGUUGCUCUAGGUUGUGUGGUAUAGUUUCCCCUUAACCAACAGACUCCACUGGCAUGUGGGUCAGCACCUUCAAGACCAUCAUCUCCGACAGCAACAUUGAUUAUCACCUAAAAAUACUGAGUAAAUUGUGACGAGUCACCCAUGAUUAGAGCGUAAGCGUGUUCCCGACUGGGAAACAAAGUAGUCAGUGGGAAAUGCGUAAAAGCACAGGGUGUCAGGUUCCCAAUACAGCUGGUGCUCACCUGGAGAAGGCAGGCAUCCAUCCAAAAAGUCCUUUUCAAUCCUCUUGCGGAAGCCAUGACCCAUCCAGGAUAUAAGGCCCACUACCGUAGUGUAAAAUUCGGGAGUGUACGCUACUUUCGGAGCAGCGGGCGAGGGCAUUUGGCCCACAGGUGCAUGCACACCUUCUUCUCCAAUUGCUUUCUCAGCCAGAAGGGAAUAAAGUGAGAUGGCCUGGGAGGCACGAUUCCAAUCUCAGAUGCUUGAGUGGGGUUGAAAAAACAGCAUCCAUUGAGAGUCCCUGGAAGCCAGUGGCUUUUGGGUAUCCUUUCUGUGGGAAGAAUCAUCCUCUAUAGAUUACCUGACAGAUCGAGUCUCUGUCUGUGGUAUGUCUUGCCAUUCUUUCUCCUCUGAAGCCGAUCCGUCUGCUCGACAUUUGUCUACCACAACCAAGGAUGCCAAUGGAUAAGGAGGCAGGGCUUGCAUCUCCAUCUAUUUAGGCUAUUUAAUUGUGGCCUUUGCCUUAGAUUUCUGGAAAUUCAAUUCAGCUCCGUUCCAGUGGAGUUAGCCAAAGGUAUAUUAUCCCUAGAAGUCUCGGAGCCCAAUCAUCCUCUAGAUAAGGCAUAGGCAACCUUUGACACUCCAGAUGUUUUGGAUUACACCUUCCAUGGUGCUCUGCCAGCCUUAUGGGUGUAAAAGCAUUAUGGGGGAUGUAGUCCACAACAUCUGGAGUGCCGAAGAGGUUGUGUGGUAUAGUUGCUCUAGGUUGUGUGGUAUAGUUUUCCCUUAACCAACAGACUCCACUGGCAUGUGGGUCAGCACCUUCAAGACCAUCUCCUCCGACAGCAACAUUGAUUAUCACCUGAAAAUACUGAGUAAAUUGUGACAAGUCACCCAUGAUUAGAGCGCAAGCAAAGUAGUCAGUGGGAAAUGCGUAAAAGCACAGGGUGUCAGGUUCCCAAUACAGCUGGUGCUCACCUGGAGAAGGCAGGCAUCCAUUCUCUGGUGGAGAAAUUUAGUAGUAGUGCCAGUGAAGAGAGGAAGUCAUCCUCUAAAACAACCAACAUAAGCGAUAGACACGUACCAAAGUGGGCUUCCCUUUAAUUAAUAGGAGACAAUAUCAGUCUCAUAUAAAAGUGGGUCAACCCUAUAAGUUCCCUGCCAGGCUGAAAAAGUACCACUGAGGGGGUCACCCUCACACUUGUUGCCAACAGUGCAGCUAGGUAAUGAAAUCGAUAUUUGAGUUCACCCCAGUUGCACAGUGAAGCUCCAUUGUAUUAUCCAGUAUAUAGAUUGGAAAACACAGUAAUAGGAAUGGUACCUGGAAGGGGGUCACCCCUGUCAAUAAACUGCCUCACUGGGGCAACCAAUAUCAUAUGGGGUAGUGACCCCAGUUGACGUGUCAUGGGGACACAGCAUAAUCUGGCAUAAAUUACUCCCAGGAACACUGUGGUACAUAUAUACACUUGUGUGCAUUGUAAGACAUAUCAAUUAAAUGACAUCCAUAAAUCUCAAUGCAAUCCACAUAAACCAUUUCCCAUAUUCAUUACAUUUUGAGACUAGAACGUCCAUAAAAAUACCUUUUAAAAUCAAUUAAAUAUGUGUGCCAAAAACAAGGAAGCACAAAAUAAAUGAGAAAGUAAAUAGUAUGAUAAAGUCAUAAAGGAUCAAAAUACAAUGGCCUGUGCACAGCAGGAGCAGCAAAGAAGGGGAAAGUGCUUGAGAGGUGAGGGCCUUAAAUAUCAACUGUUUUUUGGAUGUUUUUCCUGUUAAUGAUCUGUGCUGCUGGACUUCAGUAAAGAUUGUUUAAUGCAAAAUAUAAAACCUAAUUUCAUGUAAAAUUUCCUGUUAUUAUUGCAUAUUAAAUUGAAUAAUUAAACAAUUUGUCUCUUUGAAUUUCAGCUUCAACUACAAAUGCUAAUGCCACCACAGGUAACAGUACAACUGUUUUUUUGAUGUAAAUGUUUGAUAAAGAUUUUCAAUACAUCUUUGAUACCUAUUGUACAAAUUAAAAUCCAUCAAACACAUAUAUAUAUUAAAAAUAAACUUUAUCUAUUAAAUCAUAUAUUUGUGAUUUUGUAUUGUAAAAAAAACUAACAAUAAUAAUAGUGAAGGGGUACAAUGGAUCUAGAAUAGCCAUCAAAACUUGUCAUCUAAAGUCAUCCUUUUUCAAAUCUUUUUUUUUAGCCUUAAAAAGGGAAAAUUAAAAAUCAAUAAUAACUGACUAGACUUAAAAACUAAAAACAUAUAAAUAAAAUACUGCAAAAAAAAGAAUUAUAAUAAUAAUUCUGUGGAGGUCUCUGUGCGUAGUAAUUUUUUUUACCUUUAAUAUGGCAUCCUUAUGUUUAAAUUAGCAGUCAGUUAUCGGAUUAGUUGGGUAUGUAGCAAAACUUUUUUUUGAGAGGCAAUCUCAAGUGUAACCUGUCAUGAGAACUGCUUUGUAAUGCAUUACUGGGCUACUGUCAGGAGAAAAUGCGUAAGCCAUGGAAUCAUUUAGCUGACAGCCUUCUGAUUUUUAUAAUCUUUUAUGUCUGUAAUAUUAGAACUAUCUACAAUUGCCUGUUACUGUUGCAUAUUAAAUUGAAUUACUAACAUAUUUGUCUCUUUGAAUUUCAGCUCCAACUACAAAUGCUAAUGUCACCACAGGUAACAGUACAACCGUUGUUUUGAUGUAUAUAUGUUUAAUAACAAUUUGCAGAACGUCAUUGACACAUAGUGUAUGAAUGGAAAUCCAUUAUGCUUCCUUUGGUAUUCCAUAUAAAAUGUAUGCGUCAAAUCAUAUAUUUGUGAUUUUGUAUUGCAUAAAAAUAAUUGUUAUCCUUUUAUCAAAAGUCACUGUUGACUUUACUUUUAAAUAGCUAACAGGGCCGGACUGGGAAAAAAUUUUGGCCUGGGCAUUUUUUAACUAAACUAAAAAGGGGGCGGGGCCAGAUAGGGUGUGUUUUGUCAUCACCAAUGACAAGUAUGCCCCAUCACAAAGUGAGCAUGUUGGUUCAAUGCUCUUCCAGGUUAGACCAUGUGCAGAGCUCUGCUGAGGAGCUCUAGCAUGAGAAAAAGACCCUGUAUUUGUUCUGCACAGUGCAAGCAAAUUUAAUAACAUGCUUGAACUGUGUUUGCUUGAAAUUUGUCUCUGGUGUCUCCAUAGAUGGGAUACCAGGAGACAAAAAUGACAGGAAAGAGUAUUGUGCUCUGUGUGUGCGUGGGUGAUAUGUGUAAGGGUGCUGUGUGUGGGGUGCAGUGUGUAUACUGUGUGUGAAUGAGGGUGCUGUGAUUGUCAGGGGUGCAGUGUGUGUAUGUGUGAGUGAGAGUACUGUGAGUGUCAACAUGCAGUGUGUGAUUAUGUCCCCCCUCCCUUCUUACCUUUAGCCUGGGAGGAGGGGAGGUCGUGCAGUUGCCAUCCAUGGUGGUCCUAGUGGUGAGUGAACUCUAGCCUGUGGGGCUAGAGUUCACUCUCACGGGACCCGGAGCGUUGCCAUGGGGUGAUCUCGUAUUGUAUAUUUGUGAUCUCGUAUUGUAUAAAAAGCAACAGUAAUAACAGUGAAGGGGAACAAUAGAGGCUGUUAUUUUAGCUUAAAAAAGGCAAAUAAAAAUCAUUAAUAACUGAUAACUUAAUAACAGAAAAUCAGGGCACUGUGAGUGGUAACUCUCACCUAUCACAAAUCCUGCCUGGUAUUGCAUUGCAAGGCAACUCUAAUUAGAGGCAAAGUUUUUUUGCUUGUUAUGCUUUUUUCAUAUUUUAAGUCUUGGUUCUAUGGAUUUUUAUUUGGCCUUAUUUGGAGCCUAACAAAUGAAGAUUUGAAUGAAGAAUUCUGAUGGAAAGUUUCAAUUAUGUUUUUUACAUGUAUUUAAGAUUUGCUAGUCUUGUAGUAGACUUGCCUAAUUGUCCUUAAAUUGAAAACAUGCCUCUAGUGUAAUCAUUGUACUAAUGAGUUUGAAAAUGUGUUUGUAGUAUUAGACCUCUCUACAAUUACUUAUUACUGUUGCAUAUAUAUAUUGAAUCAUUUCAAUAUGUGUCUUUUUCAAUUUCAGUUUCAAGUACACAAGCCAAUACCACCACUGGUAAUGAUGCAAACACUGUUUUUUAUAUAGUGUUUAUGGUUGAUACAAUUAUUUACUUGUAUUUAUUAAUUUUCAAAACACUCAUUGCGUUGUGUAAGAUCCAACAUGCUCACUUAUGUAUUGAAAGUAAAAUUUCACUGUAAAAGGGACAUUCGAGAAAUCCAGACCACUUAAUCUCAUUGAAGUGGUCUGGGGGGAGUGCGCCAUCUGUCCAAUCUCGCAAUGUAAAAUAUUGUCAUGUUUACAUUGCAGGUUUAAUAUGUCUUUAGUGGCUGUCUUCCUGACAGCCAGAAUAAGCACUUCCUCUGCUAUAACUGAGCAAACUCAGCUAAAGAUAAAAUGCUGCUCAUAGGGUGGCAUUUAAUUGGCACAGUGAGGAAUUUUGCCUGCUUUUAAACCCUCACAUGUUGGGUGUAAGGUGGGCACUUUAGUAGCAGGACAUUAUUGUGUAUUGAAUAAAUGUUUGUAUACUAUAGUGUUCCAUUGAUGUUAUAUUUAUCAAGCUACACAAUUCACAGGUUCACCGUAACUAGUACAACUAAAUAUAAGAAAAUAUUACAGGAUUCCUCAACUAUAAUUUUCCUACAUCAUAAAUUUGACCAAAUUAGUAACAAUUAUAGAAAUGUCCAGCAAGCAAUGGAUCUAAAGUAUGAUUUAUCAUGUAGAAAUAAGCAAAAACUACUUUAGAAAGGAGGAAAAGUAUUGAUCCUGGGAAUAAAUAUCAAUUCAUACAAGUUGGGGAGAAUUUGUAAAGAGGAACUGACACAUAUCUGGGAGCAGUGUUGUUUCCAGCACUUGACAUCUUUAAUACUUUUUGUCCCAUGUGAGGUUUUCUGUUAUUAUUAUUAUUAUUAUCAUUUAUAUAGCGCCAACAGAUUCCGUAGCGCUUUACAAUAUUUUGAGAGGGGGGAUGUAACAAUAAAUAGGACAAUUACAAGAAAACUUACAGGAACAAUAGGUUGAAGAGGAUCCUGCUCAAAUGAGCUUACAGACUAUAGGAGGUGGGGUAUUAGAAACAUUAGGACAAGAAAUAUCAAGUAGGGGUGAAGCAGAGCUGGAGGAGAGAGCAAAGCACUGUCCCAUAGGAGAGAGCAGGAGACAGGUAUGUAAGGUAGAGAUUACUCUGGGAGGCCAUAAGCUUUCCUGAAGAGAUGGGUUUUAAGGCCCUUCUUAAAUGAUUGAAGACUAGGGGAGAGUCUGAUGGCAGUAGGCAAGCAAUUCCAUAGAAGAGGUGCCACCCGCGAGAGGUCCUGCAAGCGCGAGUUGGCCGUACGGGUGCGAGCUGCGGUCAGGAGGUGGUCACGGGCAGAGCGGAGGGUACGAGGAGGGGCAUAUCUAUGGAUUAGUGAAGAGAUAUAAGCGGGGCUAGAAUUGUUCAGUGCUUUAAAUGUGUGGGUUAGCACUUUGAAUUGACUCCUAUAGCAUACAGGGAGCCAAUGUAAGGACUGGCAGAGGGGUGAGGUGUGAGAGGACCGACUAGAGAGGAAGAUCAGUCUAGCUGCAGCAUUCAUGACAGACUGUAGCGGGGCAAUACGGCUUUUGGGGAGACCAAUCAGGAGAGGGUUACAGUAAUCCAUGCGGGAAAUUACUAGAGCAUGGACAAGCUCCUUGGUAGCAUCUUGCGUAAGAAAGGGGCGAAUGCGGGCUAUGUUUUUGAGUUGGAACCUACAGGACUUGGCAACAAACUGGAUAUGAGGCUCAAAGGUGAGACCAGAGUCAAGUAUGACACCAAGACAGCGCGCUUGCAGGGAUGGACUUAUGUGGAUAUCACUGAGUUGAAGGGAGAGCGAGAGAGGAGGAUCAGUAUUAGGAGGAGGAAAGACAAGGAGUUCAGUUUUAGAGAGGUUAAGUUUCAGAAAGCGUGAGGACAUCCAGUCAGAGAUGGAAGAAAGGCAAGCAGUGACACGUUGCAGGACGGCAGGGGAGAGGUCCGGGAGGAGAGGUAUAUCUGAGUGUCAUCAGCAUACAGGUGGUAGCGGAAUCCAAAAGAGGCAAUAAGUUUACCUAGAGAGGCAGUAUAAAGAGAAAAUAGGAGGGGACCAAGGACAGACCCUUGGGGAACUCCGACCGAGACAGGACGAGGGGAGGAGGUAUCCUUGGAAAAGGAGACACUGAACGAACGUUGGGAGAGAUAGGAGGAAAACCAAGAGAGGACAGAGUCACAGAGACCGAGCGAAUGAAGAGUUUGAAGGAGGAGAGCAUGAUCAACGGUGUCAAAGGCAGCAGAGAGGUCAAGGAGAAUUAAUAUGGAGUAGUGACCUUUGGAUUUAGCGGAGAUUAGGUCAUUAGUCACUUUGAUAAGAGCAGUCUCAGUAGAGUGGAGAGGGCGGAAGCCAGACUGAAGAGGGUCAAGUAGAGAGUUUGAAUUAAGGAAGCGAGACACACGGGUAAAGACAAGUCUUUCCAAAAGCUUUGAUGAGAAAGGGAGCAGGGUUAUGGGACGAUAGUUAGAAGGGGAGGAUGGGUCAAGAGAUGUUUUUUUCAGGAUAGGUAUUACAGUGGCAUGUUUAAGGUCAGCAGGAACCGUGCCAGAAGAGAGAGAGCAGUUAAAGAUGUGUGUUAGGGUAGGCACAAGACAAGGGGAGAGAGAUCUGAUGAGGUGAGAUGGGACAGGAUCGAGCGGGCAAGUGGUGGGGCGAGAGGAAUGGAGAAGCGCAGCCACCUCUUGUUCAGUAGCCGGGUAGAAAGUCUGGAGGGUAGGGAAAGCAAGAUUUACAUGUGGUUGAGAAAGAGAACGGCAAGGAGGGGAGAUUUGUUUCCUUAGCUGUUCAGUCUUGUCGGUAAAGUAGCAUGCAAAGCUAUCAGCUGCAAGGUUAGUUUGGGGGGUGGCCACAGCAGGGCGGAGAAGGGAAUUAAAGGUGUCAAAGAGACGUCUGGGAUUGCGGGAGCAUGAACUAAUGAGAGAGGAAAAGUAUGACUGUUUGGCGAGGGCAAGGGCUGCGCUGUAUGAAAGCAACAUGAAUCUAUAAUGGAGAAAGUCUGCCUGGGUGCGGGACUUCCUCCAGGAGCGUUCAGCACAACGGGAGCAACUCUGCAGAUAGCAUGUCGAUUUAUUAUGCCAAGGUUGGGGACGUGUCCUCCUCGAGGUGCAUGUUUUGAGAGGGGCUGCAGCGUUCAAGGCAGAUGUGAGGGUAGUGUUGUAUGUGGAGACGGCCAGUGAGGGACAGGAGAGGGAAGGGAUGGAUAGCAGUUGUGAAUCAAUGUCAGCUGACAGCUGCUGGAGGUCAAUAGAGUUGAAACAUAACUAUUUUCCCUACAUAAUCCUACAUAAUUCAUGCCGUUAGCAUAAUGAUUUAAUUUUGAUGUUUUUUUUUUUGUGAUGUUACAUUAUAUUUUUAAACAUUUAUUUUUUUAGCUCUCCUGGAGAUAUUAAUUAAUAAACUCUAGCACAUGUGAGAUUGGCAUUAAACUUAGUCUUUCAAUGGACUUCCUACACAUGUCUAAAAUUUGCAGACUUGCCCACAGUUGAAUCAUCAUUUGAAAAGUCUGUUUAUACUAUUGAACCAAUCUGCCAUUACUUGCUAUUUUUGUAUAUUUAAUUAAAAUAUUCCUGUUAUUGAAUUUCAGUUUCAACUACACAAGCUCGAACCACCCAAGGUAUGUACAGAUUUGUAGAACAUAUUUAGUUGAGGAAGCAGUGUCAGUAUUGGUUAUUAGACUACUGUAGGUAGAAUACUGGGGGUUAUUUCAUAUGGUUUUGUACUAUAAAUACAUUGUUUUAUGAUAGAUACAUAGUUACAAAGUUGAGAAACUUAAUUUUAACUGAGAUGUCUUUGUCCUAGGAGACCUUAAUGAUUUGGUAGUCUUUAUUUCAAAAUGUUGGUUCUUAGUAGACCUUAUUUCAUAAUUUAAAAGUGAUAUAUGUACAUGAGAAUUGUACACUUAUGUUAUUCCAUUAAUCUAAAGGGCACUUUAUGUUACUGCAAUGGCAAAUAAUUAUUGACAAGUUAAAAUUUAUUUUUAAUUCAAGUUUUUGUGUAUAGAUCAUGCCUCUGAUGUCUCACUACUUAAUUCUCAUCCAUUUAGGAGUAAAACCAAUUUUUUUUCUGUUUAUGCAGCCCUUGUCACACCUCCCUGUCUGUGACUGACACAGUCUGCAUGAAAAUAAAAUGGUUUCAUUUUCAUUCACAUGUUAAAUUACUUUAAAAGCUUUUAUUUCCUGCUCUGUAAAUUGAACUUUAGUCUCACACAGGAGGCUCUUGCAGGUCUAGCAAGCUAUUAACGGUGCAGAAUAAACACAAUUCUUAAUUAAGCAGAAUUUGAAAUAAAGGUAGUAUAAACAUUAGAUUACUCUUUACAGGAAGUGUUAAGAAGGCUGUGUAUGUCACAUGAAAAGAGGCAUGACUAGGGCUGCAUAAACAAAGUGAUUUAACUCAUAAAUGGCAGAGAAUUGACUAGUGAGACUGCAGGGGUGUGAUCUGUACACCAAAGCUGUUUCAAUAAACUAAAGUUUUUUUGUUGACUAUAGUACCCCUUUAAUAUUAAAUACAUUUUCUAAAUGUAAAUUACACCAGCAGUCAUCAAUCAAGCGGGGAUAACACUACAGAUAAUAAUGAUAAGAUAUAAUGUGUUCUUUUUGUAUAACAUGCUUAUCAUAAGUCAUUGUCACAACAAUAGAUUUGAUUUUCUGUUAAUAUGUUGCUGUACUAUAGUAUUGAUGUUUAAACUCAUGUAUUGUUUAUUUGUCUUUUAUAGCUACUACUUCCGGAUCAUCAACUCAAACAUUCUCUAUGUUCACUGCUCUCAUACAAACAUUAACCGUGAUUGUGAUCACAAAACACAUAAUAGCAUAAAAAAUGAAAUGUAUUGCUAUGUAAAUGUUAUUUUAAAAGUUUCAGUUUAUCAAAAGCUGUUUUAAUGAAUCUAAAAAAAAAUUAUUGAUUGAAUUUUACAAAAAGUUAAACAGAACAUUUUUUUAUAUAAAUAUUUUACAGGAGUGCAAAUGUCAAGCUUUCUUCCAUGAAGUACAUGUAAAUUAUACAUAGCAUUGGAGAAAUGUACAACAAAUCUAUGCUUUAAAAGACAUUGCACAUACAGCUAUCCAUUAUAUCAACUGGUGAAUGAUACAUUCCUUAGUGGAUUUGUAGCACAUUUUUAAUAUAAAUUAUGAUAAUCAUAUUUUUUUUUGUUUGCUACAAAUAAAAUUAUUAUAUGAUACCAUCGAUAGAUAACUGUAUAUGAAACAUUAGAAAUAUAAAAAAUAUUAAUUUAUAUUUUAUUUUUGAAGGCAUCAUACAUGUUCUGGGAGAAAAACAGAGUUUCUGAAACUUUUAUAUGUGUGUAUAUACAUAUAUUAAUAAUAUUUUUAACUAUGAAUAAUAUGAAUUAAACAGCAGAACCUAUAACACAACAUGAUUAUCUAUUACAGUGUGAGUUGUCUGGAAUUCAAAGUGAACAGAAAGUUAAUUUAAAAUUUUAGGCACAAAUAGCCAACUAGGAAAAAAGUUCAAGUCAGCUGUAUUUUUAGUUCUGCGAUUAACUAUAGUUUGAAAUAUACCGUAUAUACUCGAGUAUAAGCCGACCCGAAUAUAAGCCGAGGCCCCUAAUUUUACCCCAAACAACUGGGAAAACUUAUUGACUCGAGUAUAAGACUAGGGUGGGAUAUGCAGCAGCUACUGGUAAAUUUCUAAAUAAAAUUAGAUCCUAAAAAAAUUAUAUUAAUUGAAUAUUUAUUUACAGCGUGUGUAUAUGAUGAAUGCAGUGUGUGUGUAUGAGUGCGCAGUGUGUGUAUGAGUGCAGGGUGUGUGUAUGAAUGCAGGGUGUGUGUAUGAAUGCAGUGUUUGUGUAUGAGUGCAGUGUGUGUGCAUAAAUGCAGUGUGUGUGUAUGAGUGCAGUGUGUGUAUGAGUGCAGUGUGUGUAUGAAUGAGGUGUGUGUAUGAAUGCAGUGUGUGUAUGAAUGCAGUGUUUGUGUAUGAGUGCAGUGUUUGUGUAUGAAUGCAGUGUUUGUGUAUGAGUGCAGUGUGUGUAUGAGUGCAGUGUGUGUAUGAAUGCAGUGUGUGUGUAUGAGUGCAGUGUUUGUGUAGGAAGGCAGUGUUUGUGUAUGAGUGCAGUGUGUGUGCAUAAAUGCAGUGUGUGCAUGAAUGCAGUGUGUGUAUGAGUGCAGAGUGUGUAUGAGUGCAGUGUGUGUGUAUGAGUGCAGUGUGUGUGUAUGAAUGCAGUGUGUGUAUGAAUGCAGUGUGUGUAUGAGUGCAGUGUGUGUAUAUGAGUGCAGUGUGUGUGUAUGAGUGCAGUGUGUGUGUGAUGCAUUGUGUGUUUGUGUUGCAGAGCCUUGGUGGGGGGUGGGCAUUUUUAUAAAAAAAAUAAUAAUAUUAUUUUAAAUUUUUUUGUUAUAUUAUUAUUUUUUUUAAUUAUUUUUUUAUUAUUUUUAUUUUUAUUUAUAUAUUAUUAAUUUAUUUAUUUUUUGUCCCCCCCCUCCCUGCUUGAUACAUGGCAGGGAGGGGGGCUCUCUUUCCCUGGUGGUCCAGUGGCAUUGGCAGUUCAGUGGAGGGAGGAGGGGGGCUGGCAGAGCUGUUACUUACCUCUCCUGCAGCUCCUGUCGGUCCGUGCAGCUCUUCUCUCAGCUCACACUGUAAGUCUCGCGAGAGCCGCACUAUGACCCCGCGGCUCUCGCUAGACUUACACUGGGAGCUGACCGAGGUGCUGCCCGGACCGACGCGGAGGAGGAGAGAGCUGACAGGAGCUGCAGGAGAGGUAAGCGCUCGCUGCCAGCCCCCAGUCUGUAUUAUGGCAAUGUAAGUUGCCAUAAUACAGACAGUGACUCGAGUAUAAGCCGAGUUGGGGUUUUUCAGCACAAAAAAUGUGCUGAAAAACUCGGCUUAUACUCGAGUAUAUACGGUACUUUGAAUUCAGUUUCAAUUCCUGGCAAUUCACACUUGAAUGUAUAACAUUACUGUGUCAUGUGCUGUGUCAAUAAUUUAAUUCCAUGAUUACACAAAACGUAUUCCUGAUCACAUUUUGAUGUAACAAAUAACGCAAUUAUGGGUAUAAUAGAAAAAUUUUAUGAAAAUGUAAAAAGAAACACAGACUAAUAAAGGCAGCAGUCACUAAUAGAAAACACCUCAAUGAUUCUGAUGCACACAAUCUAGGAGGACUAAGCUCUCAUAUACACAGGAAAAGUACACAUUGUAGUCGUGCACCCUUGUAGUCCGGCCCUGUUUAUCGUAAUGACAGAGUUAUGCGUUGUCAUUCUCUUUUGGCAACAUUAAACCGGGAAUAUUUGUGCUUUUUUAUUAUUCCAAAUUUGGUAUUUUAUAUUGUUCUUUGGGAUUGAUAAAACUAAUUUUAGGAUUGCAACAUUGCUGUUUUUCCUAAUAAACCUUGUAUAUUGGACUCAUUGUGUUGUGAGUCCUUUUGUUCAUUUCCUGUAUAUGUUUAGAACCUAAUUAGAAAUUAUAUUAUCCUGAGAUGUUUUUCUGUUUGUUUGUUUUGCUGCAAAACAGAUAAUUACACUGUACACAUGUUGUUGCAUUAAAUACAUAUGAUU
This 28824-nucleotide long non-coding RNA is filed under the name Pelobates cultripes (western spadefoot toad). The record is from RNAcentral. Lineage: Eukaryota; Metazoa; Chordata; Amphibia; Anura; Pelobatidae.